Camelus ferus (Wild Bactrian camel) is the source of this 73-nucleotide non-coding RNA. The record is from Rfam. Lineage: Eukaryota; Metazoa; Chordata; Mammalia; Artiodactyla; Camelidae.
GGAGGGUACAGUGCAGUGGUAGAGCGCAUGCCUAGCAUGCACAAGGUCCUGGGUUCAAUCCCCAGAACCUCUA